AGAGUUUGAUUCUGGCUCAGGAUGAACGCUAGCUACAGGCUUAACACAUGCAAGUCGAGGGGCAGCAUGUUGGUUGCUUGCAACCAAUGAUGGCGACCGGCGCACGGGUGAGUAACGCGUAUCCAACCUUCCCUUAGUAGGGCAUAGCCCGUAGAAAUGCGGAUUAAUACCCUAUGUUGUAUAUUGAGGACAUCUGAUUUAUACCAAAGGUUUACCGCUAAGGGAUGGGGAUGCGUCUGAUUAGGUUGUUGGCGGGGUAACGGCCCACCAAGCCUACGAUCAGUAGGGGUUCUGAGAGGAAGGUCCCCCACAUUGGAACUGAGACACGGUCCAAACUCCUACGGGAGGCAGCAGUGAGGAAUAUUGGUCAAUGGACGAGAGUCUGAACCAGCCAAAGUAGCGUGCAGGAUGACGGCCCUAUGGGUUGUAAACUGCUUUUAUACGGGGAUAAAGUGACCCACGUGUGGGUUUUUGUAGGUACCGUAUGAAUAAGGACCGGCUAAUUCCGUGCCAGCCGCCGC
RNAcentral lists this ribosomal RNA (521 nucleotides) under uncultured bacterium. Its description in RNAcentral is "bacterial SSU rRNA". It matches the Rfam family "Bacterial small subunit ribosomal RNA", at positions 8 to 518 of the family's 1533-position model. The record is from RNAcentral.